CCACCGUAGCCCCACCACCGCCGAAGCCGCCGCCGUAUCCGCCGCCGAACCCGCCCCUCCGUAUCCACCGCCUCCCCCGUAGCCCAGUCCUCCUAGGUCCAGACCAUAACCCCCACCGUAGCCGCCGCCGAGCCCCAUGUCGCCGUGGUGGAACCACCACUUCUGCUCCUCCAGGGCUCCAUUGCGUUUGGGCAGCACCCUUGCGCCCUCAGUGAAGACGAGCGAAAGGAGGAGCUGGAUGAGCAGGAGGGAGCAGAGCUUCCUCGCCAUUGAGCACGACAGGCAGGAGGAAGCGCUUCUUCUCCGUGG
This 309-nucleotide long non-coding RNA is filed under the name Spirodela polyrhiza (greater duckweed). RNAcentral describes it as "long non-coding RNA (SPOL_LNC000414)". Lineage: Eukaryota; Viridiplantae; Streptophyta; Magnoliopsida; Alismatales; Araceae. The record is from RNAcentral.